AUACGGAGGAUGCAAGCGUUAUCCGGAUUUAUUGGGUUUAAAGGGUGCGUAGGCGGUUUGCUAAGCGGGAGGUGAAAUGCCGGCGCUCAACGUCGGAAGUGCCUCCCGAACUGGUGGACUGGAAUGACUCUGCCGUGGGAGGAAUGUGUAGUGUAGCGGUGAAAUGCUUAGAGAUUACACAGAACACCGAUUGCGAAGGCAUCUCACGAAGGGUUGAUUGACGCUGAGGCACGAAAGCGUGGGGAUCAAACAGGAUUAGAUACCCUGGUAGUCCACGCAGUAAACGAUGAUGGCUAACCGCUGGUUUAUUCGGAUCAGUGGCCAAGCGAAAGCGAUAAGCCAUCCGCCUGGGGAGUACGACCGCAAGGUUGAAACUCAAAGGAAUUGACGGGG
RNAcentral lists this ribosomal RNA (393 nucleotides) under uncultured bacterium. Its description in RNAcentral is "partial 16S ribosomal RNA". It matches the Rfam family "Bacterial small subunit ribosomal RNA", at positions 523 to 918 of the family's 1533-position model. The record is from RNAcentral.